AAGAUGGCGACCGGCGCACGGGUGAGUAACACGUAUCCAACCUGCCGAUGACUCCGGAAUAGCCUUUCGAAAGAAAGAUUAAUACCGGAUGGCAUACGAAUAUCGCAUGAUAUUUUUAUUAAAGAAUUUCGGUUAUCGAUGGGGAUGCGUUCCAUUAGUUUGUUGGCGGGGUAACGGCCCACCAAGACUACGAUGGAUAGGGGUUCUGAGAGGAAGGUCCCCCACAUUGGAACUGAGACACGGUCCAA
Molecule: ribosomal RNA, 248 nt
Filed under: uncultured bacterium
Lineage: Bacteria
Description: partial 16S ribosomal RNA
Rfam family: Bacterial small subunit ribosomal RNA
Source: RNAcentral